RNAcentral lists this ribosomal RNA (517 nucleotides) under Salmonella enterica. RNAcentral's name for it is "bacterial LSU rRNA". It matches the Rfam family "Bacterial large subunit ribosomal RNA", at positions 1 to 548 of the family's 2925-position model. The record is from RNAcentral. Lineage: Bacteria; Pseudomonadati; Pseudomonadota; Gammaproteobacteria; Enterobacterales; Enterobacteriaceae.
GGGUUGUGAGGUUAAGCGACUAAGCGUACACGGUGGAUGCCCUGGCAGUCAGAGGCGAUGAAGGACGUGCUAAUCUGCGAUAAGCGCCGGUAAGGUGAUAUGAACCGUUAUAACCGGCGAUUUCCGAAUGGGGAAACCCAGUGUGACUCGUCACACUAUCAUUAACUGAAUCCAUAGGUUAAUGAGGCGAACCGGGGGAACUGAAACAUCUAAGUACCCCGAGGAAAAGAAAUCAACCGAGAUUCCCCCAGUAGCGGCGAGCGAACGGGGAGGAGCCCAGAGCCUGAAUCAGCAUGUGUGUUAGUGGAAGCGUCUGGAAAGGCGCGCGAUACAGGGUGACAGCCCCGUACACAAAAGCGCAUGUGCUGUGAGCUCGAUGAGUAGGGCGGGACACGUGGUAUCCUGUCUGAAUAUGGGGGGACCAUCCUCCAAGGCUAAAUACUCCUGACUGACCGAUAGUGAACCAGUACCGUGAGGGAAAGGCGAAAAGAACCCCGGCGAGGGGAGUGAAAAAGAA